UUCAUCCGACUAAUAUUUCUCCUGCGCUUUCUUCGCAGGCUCCUGAGAGGGGGUCGUCUUCCUCUUGUUCAUUCAUUUAUUUGGUUGAACAUCAGCUUGGUCAUCCGAUCAGUACGAGUGGUUCUGAAAUGGUAUCUCCUCGUAUGACCAUAUUCUAUACCAAAACUUUAGUUGUGAAGAUGAUUUCAGAUCACGAGCAUCCUCUAUAUACACCGUCUGACUUUCUAGGAACGAUGAGCCCAUCCGUUUCAGAUCAUUCAGUUCACUAUUAUUCUCCGGAAGCCAGUGGUGCUGAACUCAAGUAAAAGGUUGAAGGCCAUAAUUCCUCUCUGUCUGAUUCCCGAUAUGGGUAAAUGAGAAAGUCACGCAAGAAGACUAGUGAUUCGGGUAGUGCUAGUGAAAAGCGUCAAAAGGAGAUUCCUAAGGUUUCAUGCGGCGUGAACGAGGAUGCUUGGUUGAUGGCUAUUCAAGAAGAUCCCAAAUUUAUAUAUCCCCUCAUUUUGGACAUAAAGGAGACGGAUAUAGAUGACCUUUUCAUCCAGGUGCACCGGUUCUGGGUUUCUUCCUCUAAGGCUGCCAAUUAUCGCCGCAUAGUUGAGAAAUUUGAUCAUAUGUAUGUGCAUGAGGAGACGGGCGCUAGUGCUUUCAUUAUAGUAAAUGAGGAUUUAUUGGAAUCGUGGAUGGUCUUGCUCAUGCUGAAGACGCACCCAUUGAUCAGGCGGUGCUGAAGAGAUGGGAAAGUUCUCUCUAGACGGCUUCUCUCAUUGGGUUUCCCAUCCAGUGGUUGGAAUGGUUGAUGGGCGCCGUGAAGGCGAGCAAUAACGCGCAUCAUCUGCUUCCCAAAUAAAUCGGCAAAUUGGAAAAAGAGCAUGCACGACUUCUGAAGGUGGCUGAGGCAGAGAAGGGAGUAUAUGAUCAGCUGAUGGAAAGCAUUGGCAAUGCUGCUGCGGAGCUAAAAACUGCUAGGGUCGCGGCUGAGGAGGUCCGCUCAAAGCUGGAGAAGAAGCAGGCGGAGUUUGCUGCUCUAGAUGCAUAGUGGCCAUUCUUUUCUUAUUCUGACGUGAAUAGAUCCUCUCCAUCCUCUCUCUUUUUUUAUUUUGCUUUUAUGUGGUACUAUUCUCUGGAAACUUUUGGACUUAUCUUUGACGUUUAUUAUGCAUGGUUAGAUUAAAGUAUAUCCUUCUUAUUA
This is a long non-coding RNA of Papaver somniferum (opium poppy), 1189 nucleotides long. RefSeq lists it as uncharacterized. The record is from RefSeq and is a predicted model, not a curated record. Lineage: Eukaryota; Viridiplantae; Streptophyta; Magnoliopsida; Ranunculales; Papaveraceae. The transcript is spliced from 2 exons.